AUGUGAAUUUAGUUGACGUUUCGAAUAUUUGAAAAUUAGAAAAUCGCUCGUAUCGAAAGGGUCUCGAGUCAAUCUUCAGUCAAUUUUCUUUCAGCGAUUUUGAGUGAUUAAAAAUCUUUAUUAAAAUGUCAUAGCUUGAUCAUUUAAAAGCAUGGAUCAACUACGUGAUACAAAUUCAAUUUGAACACUCAAAUACGCAUGCCAGUUAUACGCGAAAUUUUGAAGAUACAAAUUCGAAAUUUUCUAAGCUAAUUAAAUAUUUUCGUUAUACGUAUUUAUCUACAUAGAAUUAUCAAUGAGAAGUCUCUCUGGUGAGCGUUCUUCAAAGAUGCAAUAUACCUUGGUCCAGUUCGGUCCGUAGAGCAAGAAGAUUUUUGGUCACGGUCAAUCGAUACGUACUUGAGAGCUACGUUUUCCGGAACUCCGGCGGGAAACAAUAUGCGGAGGCGCCAAGGCAUCGAGCUCCUUUCGUUUCUUCAUCUUCUUCGUCGGCUGACGAAGGGGCACUGUCACCGCCACUGAGUCCAUCUCAAGCAACGCCGAACCGCCUAUCUUCGUUUCGUUUCACGCGAGCUUGUCGCGCACGAGGAGACCCUUCUUUUUUUUCUUUCUUUAUUUUUCUAUACUUCUUUAUCAACCUUUGCACGAUACACACACGUUGAUAAUCGUUCGCAGCAGGUUCAUUUCCGUGCUUAAAAUUCGGUCGCGUUUUCACCGUUUCAAGCUGCUAGGACGCGACGAUCUAUAAUUUACAGCUCUGUGAUCAUAUUUUUCCGAUCCUAUCGUUUCCGCGAAUAGAAUAUUCAUUGGUAUCGUAUCGCGUGAUCAUUUCCUCUAAAAACAGUUGAGUUUGCACAUCAAGAUGUAUGUUUCGACCCGUUCCAUUUUUUUUUGUUUGAAAUAUUGCAUAGUAUUUUUAUAACGGAACAGUUUUAUGAGAAACAACUAGAAUGAAUUUUAAAAAUUUGGGGAAACUAGACAAUAGCGUAAUAGCUUCUUCUAACUCUUUGAGUAUUUAGCAUUCUCAUUAU
This 1031-nucleotide unclassified non-coding RNA is filed under the name Bombus terrestris (buff-tailed bumblebee). RNAcentral's name for it is "misc RNA ENSBTSG00005030284.1". Lineage: Eukaryota; Metazoa; Arthropoda; Insecta; Hymenoptera; Apidae. The record is from RNAcentral.